UACGUAGGGGGCAAGCGUUGUCCGGAUUUAUUGGGCGUAAAGGGCGCGUAGGCGGCCUGUUAAGUCGAACGUGAAAUCCCCGGGCUCAACCCGGGAACUGCGUCCGAUACUGGCAGGCUUGAAUCCGGGAGAGGGAUGCGGAAUUCCAGGUGUAGCGGUGAAAUGCGUAGAUAUCUGGAGGAACACCGGUGGCGAAGGCGGCAUCCUGGACCGGCAUUGACGCUGAGGCGCGAAAGCCAGGGGAGCAAACGGG
Molecule: ribosomal RNA, 253 nt
Filed under: uncultured bacterium
Lineage: Bacteria
Description: partial 16S ribosomal RNA
Rfam family: Bacterial small subunit ribosomal RNA
Source: RNAcentral